AUGAUAUGUGUGGCAUCUCUUGUCGCCAUCCACCGUCCGUUUCACAGUGAACACACUUGGAAAGCAGCUUUUGCCAAAAACCUUUGGACAGUCCAAUGUCAAUGUUACACAGCAAGUGGUGAUUGGCACGCCUCAGAGUCCUGCAGCAUCCAGCACUAUUGUGGUAGGGAGCCCACACUCUCCCAACACUCACUUUGUGUCCCAGAAUCAGACGUCUGACUCCUUACCUUGGUCUGCUGGGAAGUGGAACAGGAAGGGCGAGAAGAAUAGCAAGGGCUAAGUGGCAUUUCUCCAUGAAGGUGUGUGAGAAGGUGCAGAGGAAAGGAACUACCUCCUACAGUGAGGUGGCUAAAGAGCUGGUGGCAGAGAUCAGCACUUCGGACAACCACAUCCUACCAAACCAAUCAGCUUAUGACCAGAAGAACACCUGGAGGCAUGUCUACGAUGCCUUAAAUGUGCUAAUAGCCAUGAACAUCAUCUUCAAGAAGAAGAAGGAGAGCAAAUGGAUCGGCCUGCCCACCAACUCAGCUCAGGAGUGCCAGAACUUAGAGGUAGAGAGGCAGCGGAGGCUGGAGAGAAUCAAACAGAAGCAGUCACAGCUCCAGGAGCUCAUCCUGCAGCAAAUUGCCUUCAAGAACUUGGUGCAGAGAAAUCGCCAAGCCGAGCAGCAGGCCCGCAGGCCGCCUCCUCCCAACUCUGUCAUCCACUUGCCCUUCAUCAUUGUCAACACCAGCAGGAAGACAGUCAUUGACUGCAGCAUCUCCAAUGACAAAUUUGAGAAUCUGUUUAACUUUGACAACACAUUUGAAAUCCAUGAUGACAUUGAGGUGCUCAAGUGCAUGGGCAUAGCGUGUGGGCUGGAGUGUGGCAACUGCUCUGCUGAAGACCUCAAGGUGGCCAGAAGUUUGGUACCAAAAGCUCUAGAACCAUACGUGACAGAAAUGGCUCAGGGAUCCAUUGGUGGAGUAUUCCUUAUGAAAACAGGUUCUACAUCCAAUGGCACAAGGCUUUCUGCCAGUAAUUUGAGCAAUGGUGCAGAUGGAAUCCUGGCCAUAAGCUCCAAUGGGUCUCAGUACAGCGGCUCCAGGGUCGAGACCCCUGUGUCCUACGUUGGGGAGGAUGAUGACGACAACGACUAUGACUUUAAUGAGAACGACAAGGAGGAUUGA
This is a non-coding RNA of Mus caroli (Ryukyu mouse), 1169 nucleotides long. Lineage: Eukaryota; Metazoa; Chordata; Mammalia; Rodentia; Muridae. The record is from RefSeq and is a predicted model, not a curated record.